Long non-coding RNA from Cygnus olor (mute swan), 750 nucleotides. RefSeq lists it as uncharacterized. The record is from RefSeq and is a predicted model, not a curated record. The transcript is spliced from 2 exons. NCBI's taxonomy places the organism in Eukaryota, Metazoa, Chordata, Aves, Anseriformes, Anatidae.
GUUGGCUCGAGGAGAAGGGAGGCGGGAGAGACACAGGAAGCAAUACUGCGCCCGAGCAGGUCCGGCGCUCCCCAUUGCGCGCUCGGGAGAAAUGUUCCUGAAUAUGAGAUGUUCUGUGUCGUAUCUGUGAGUAGCCGUCAGCAAGAAUAAAUUGGUUCUCAGGUUCAAAGUUGGGAAUACCUUGUAUCUAGUACUAUUUUCAGUCCUCGUUUUCUCUUUGUAAGUUCGAGAAUGCUCAGUUUUUCACAUUCCUGUAAAUGCUGUGAGCCUCCUAGGAUGCAUUCAGGACAGCUCUAAUAUUUGGCUGUUGAUGACUCCAGUGCAUGGAGUGGCUCCGUUAACUCAUGGACUUAAUCUGUGCAGUAUUAUAGAAAUAUACAGAAUCAUCGUAUUCAGUGUCUAACAUGCAAAAUUAGAAAUUUUUGGAAACAUACCUUUUUAAAAUUAAUGUCAGAUAAUAAAGACAAAAAGAACAUACAAUAAAAAAUGUAAUCUUUAUUAUUUUGGCGCAUUAAUGAUGUUAUUUAGCAUCAGUUAGGGUAAUAGUAGCAUUUUCCUGCAUGCAGUUCACUAAUAUAGUAUUAGUCAAUAAUCUUAAUAAAAGUAAUCUAUAUUUAAUUUUCCUGUGUAAGAAACAUAAAAUGUCCUGAUGUGUUGAUUAAACAAUUUUGCUACUUUCUCUUUGUGAAAAAAUACUGUGGACCCAAGAUAACAUUUAGAACUGUUCUAGUGCAGUGUGAAUAAUAAUAA